AGAGCGAACGCUGGCGGCAGGCCUAAUACAUGCAAGUCGAACGGAUCCUUCGGGAUUAGUGGCGGACGGGUGAGUAACACGUGGGAACGUGCCCUUUGGUUCGGAACAACUCAGGGAAACUUGAGCUAAUACCGAAUGUGCCCUUCGGGGGAAAGAUUUAUCGCCAUUGGAGCGGCCCGCGUCUGAUUAGCUAGUUGGUGAGGUAAAGGCUCACCAAGGCGACGAUCAGUAGCUGGUCUGAGAGGAUGAUCAGCCACACUGGGACUGAGACACGGCCCAGACUCCUACGGGAGGCAGCAGUAGGGAAUCUUGCGCAAUGGGCGAAAGCCUGACGCAGCCAUGCCGCGUGAAUGAUGAAGGUCUUAGGAUUGUAAAAUUCUUUCAGCGGGGACGAUAAUGACGGUACCCGCAGAAGAACGCCCGGCUAACUUCGCGCCAGCAGCCGC
Molecule: ribosomal RNA, 446 nt
Filed under: uncultured bacterium
Lineage: Bacteria
Description: SSU rRNA
Rfam family: Bacterial small subunit ribosomal RNA
Source: RNAcentral